UCAAAACAGCGGCCUUCGGGCCUCGCUGCACCCUUGUCUUUUGCGCACCGUAUUGUUUCCUCGGCGGGCUUGCCUGCCGGUUGGACAUCAUAAAACCCUUUUGUAGUUGCAAUCAGCGUCAGAAAAACAAUAAUUAUUA
RNAcentral lists this unclassified non-coding RNA (139 nucleotides) under soil metagenome. RNAcentral describes it as "partial internal transcribed spacer 1". The record is from RNAcentral.